RNAcentral lists this ribosomal RNA (253 nucleotides) under uncultured bacterium. Its description in RNAcentral is "partial 16S ribosomal RNA". It matches the Rfam family "Bacterial small subunit ribosomal RNA", at positions 524 to 776 of the family's 1533-position model. The record is from RNAcentral.
GACGAACCGAGCGAACGUUGUUCGGAAUCACUGGGCUUAAAGGGCGCGUAGGCGGGUGCUCAAGUCCGUGGUGAAAUCCUCCGGCUCAACCGGAGAACUGCCUCGGAUACUGGGCGUCUCGAGUGUGGUAGGGGUAUGCGGAACUAUCGGUGGAGCGGUGAAAUGCGUAGAUAUCAAGUGGAACACCAGUGGCGAAGGCGAGUCUCUGGACAUUUCCUGACGCUGAGGCACGAAAGCCAGGGGAGCAAACGGG